UGUCAUUUGCUCAGGGGAAUAAAAUGCACAGCAGACAAGAGGAUGUGAGGAGCCAAGGCAGCUGCUGCUGGGCAGUAAGCAUCUAAGCAAUGCUCCUGCAAGUGUCUGAGCUCCAUGCAUAGCAGCACUACAUCUGGAAAUACUACAGUUUUUGCUCUUUGAAUUCAUCAUUGCUUCAUAAAGCAGCAGCUGCACCAGAUGCAGUAAGGAUACUGAAAAUGUACAUUACUCUGGGAUAUAUUAUUUGGACUUAGCAUAAAUUUUGCACUGUCUGUUUGUCAUUCUUCCUCAUGCCUGCUGUCGGAAAUGCGUCAGGAGACAAAAGCAAGCUUAAUUGACAGCUCUGGGGAGGCUGAAGACAAUUUCCACUGUGCAUAAAAUAGCCUGAGUCAGGAGCAUCAGAUCAGAGAUCACCUUUUUGCACCCAGCUGCUGAAGCUGUCAUCGUACUCUGGGUACAUUUAUUUAACCAAAGUAACAGGGCAGUGAUCGCUGCAGAGAACUGGAACUUCCUUUCUUCAUUCAAAGAACUAAAGUUGCUAUUGUUGUAAAAAUAUCGAACUAAUUCUUUUCCACCAAAGG
Molecule: long non-coding RNA, 581 nt
Filed under: Anas platyrhynchos platyrhynchos (common mallard)
Lineage: Eukaryota; Metazoa; Chordata; Aves; Anseriformes; Anatidae
Description: lncRNA (ENSAPLG00000022918.1)
Source: RNAcentral